RNAcentral lists this ribosomal RNA (436 nucleotides) under uncultured bacterium. Its description in RNAcentral is "partial 16S ribosomal RNA". It matches the Rfam family "Bacterial small subunit ribosomal RNA", at positions 29 to 507 of the family's 1533-position model. The record is from RNAcentral.
AACGAACGCUGGCGGCAUGCCUAACACAUGCAAGUCGAACGAUGGUCUUCGGAUCAUAGUGGCGCACGGGUGCGUAACGCGUGGGAAUCUGCCCUUGGGUUCGGAAUAACAGUUGGAAACGACUGCUAAUACCGGAUGAUGUCGAUAAGGCCAAAGAUUUAUCGCCCGAGGAUGAGCCCGCGUCGGAUUAGCUAGUUGGUGGGGUAAAGGCCUACCAAGGCGACGAUCCGUAGCUGGUCUGAGAGGAUGAUCAGCCACACUGGGACUGAGACACGGCCCAGACUCCUACGGGAGGCAGCAGUGGGGAAUAUUGGACAAUGGGCGCAAGCCUGAUCCAGCAAUGCCGCGUGAGUGAUGAAGGCCUUAGGGUUGUAAAGCUCUUUUACCCGGGAAGAUAAUGACUGUACCGGGAGAAUAAGCCCCGGCUAACUCCGUG